RNAcentral lists this ribosomal RNA (492 nucleotides) under uncultured bacterium. RNAcentral's name for it is "partial 16S ribosomal RNA". It matches the Rfam family "Bacterial small subunit ribosomal RNA", at positions 29 to 507 of the family's 1533-position model. The record is from RNAcentral.
AUUGAACGCUGGCGGCAUGCUUUACACAUGCAAGUCGAACGGUAACAGGCCUUCGGGUGCUGACGAGUGGCGAACGGGUGAGUAAUGCAUCGGAACGUACCCAGAGGUGGGGGAUAACGCAGCGAAAGCUGUGCUAAUACCGCAUGUGAUCUGAGGAUGAAAGCGGGGGACCGAGCAGCAAUGUUUGGCCUCGCGCCUUUGGAGCGGCCGAUGUCGGAUUAGCUAGUUGGGGGGGUAAAGGCCUACCAAGGCGACGAUCCGUAGCUGGUCUGAGAGGACGACAAGCCACACUGGGACUGAGACACGGCCCAGACUCCUACGGGAGGCAGCAGUGGGGAAUUUUGGACAAUGGGCGCAAGCCUGAUCCAGCAAUGCCGCGUGCGGGAAGAAGGCCUUCGGGUUGUAAACCGCUUUUGGCAGGAACGAAACGGUGUCCGCUAAUACCGGGCGCUAAUGACGGUAACUGCAGAAUAAGCACCGGCUAACUACGUG